RNAcentral lists this long non-coding RNA (6394 nucleotides) under Medicago truncatula (barrel medic). RNAcentral's name for it is "long non-coding RNA (MTRU_LNC002693)". The record is from RNAcentral. Lineage: Eukaryota; Viridiplantae; Streptophyta; Magnoliopsida; Fabales; Fabaceae.
CCACUGCAAAAUGUGUGCUACGUAUACCGGUCAUCUUUUUUUUUUUUUUUUUUUAUAUUUCCAGGGUACCUUUCAAUGUAGUUUGCACUAGCAUGAAUCUCUCCGUUGCUAGAAUACGCUAUCCCAUCAAUUUUUUCUGUCUGUUGCUGAAGUGUUGUUCUGCUGCUGAAGAAGCUUGAGAACGAAGUCAGUGGCAGUGCUCGGUGUUUCUUUGGCAUAUUCUGUGCCCACAUAUUUCUCAAACAGCUCACCGAUGCUGGAUUGAGCAUUGUUGGACACAACGUAAUUCGUGCCCUCACUUUCAUAGUACAAAGCACAAAACUUGUUUAAGGCAUUGAGCCAUUGUUCUAUGAGAUGGGAUGGGAGAUAUAUAUAUAGGAGGAAUUAAUUAGUUCAUAUCAAAUUAAGCAGCAAAGAAUAAGGAGUUGCUAGGUGCAUGACAUCAAUCAAUUGAGUGAACAUAACUUUAAACCAUGUUAUAUAUGUUAUUUAUGAAUGGAUUUUCUUUUUUGCCUCAUUUAACGCCUCUAGAAGCGUGUGAUUCGUAUGACCAGUCACGGUGGUGAUAGAAUAAGUAAGAAGACCUAAUAGGAACACAAACAAUGAACUUUUUUUUAAAACUAAGGAUGAUAGGUCACGGCAGUAUAGAGGAGUCUACAACCUAGUCUACAGCAAACUUUGACUGUAUGUAGAGAAGACUAAAACUUUUAAAAGAAAUUUUAAUCUCAUUAGUUUAUUUUAAACUAGAUCGAAUACUUAUUUAAAUGUAUUUAUAUAAAAUGGGUUUUUAAAUAGGCUAAUAUGUCAUCUCAUAUUUUCUAAACAUGACUCAAAUCUAAAAUUGUUUAUCUUCUUUGGUUUGCACCUGAGUCUAAGAAACCCUUCGCAAUUUUUUUACACACAAGAUUGUGAAGAAAAAAAAAAUCAAAUUGUUUUUUUACCAUGUUAUCGAUACAAAAUUUUGACAAUUAAAUUCUUUUAUAUGCAAGAAUUAGAAAUCAAACUUCUCAUAACUUUCUUAAAGAACUCAAGUCUUUUACCAUUUAUACUAAUAAUCUAUGGUUGAUUUAACCCAAUUGUUUCUAUCCAUAUAUAAUAUUUAUUUUCUUUAUCUUCUCAAAUGUCGGUUCAAUGUGUCACCAAUCUUCCAAUAAAUCUAAGAACACCAUUAUUUCCUUUUAACCAUUCAGCUUUGUUCUUCAAAUAAUAAUAAUAACAGUUUCAAUGAGGAAAAUUAUAAGCUCCAUAUAGAGAUAUGUCAUAGGCACUUGUUGUAGAUAAUGUCAUUUGAAAGAAGGGACAUGGUUGAAUUUUACAAUUCAUAAAGGCCACAGUUCUCAGCCGAUUGUCGAGUUGAGUUUAUUUUUUAUUUUAUUUUUCUGAAAAAAUUUGGUAUCCGAUCCAACAAUCGACUGAUUCGAAGGGGAAUCUCACCGUCCACUUGCGGAGAUCUCAUUUAAAGCUUUGUAUGAACUUAUCUAUCGAAGUUGGUACUGGAGGGAAUCGAACCAGAGACCUUGAGACCGGGGGCGGUUUCACCGCCCGACGACCCUAGGUGGUCGCCCGGGCUCGAUCGAUAAUUUGUGUACAUUAGGUCGAACCCAAAAGCCCAUUAAGACACUAACAAAAAAAUAUUAUUGGGCAAACAUCCAAGGAAAAGAAACGCGCGCUUAGAUUCCAGAAAAAGAAAACACAAAUUUUUGUCGCAGUUUCCGCCUUUUCCACUUGCGAAUUUUAACAAGACUUGAGAAAGAUACUGAAGAGCCAAUUCCUGGUUGAAUAAAAAAUUCAAGGAGGAAAAUGAGUUAAUCUAAAACAGGAUACAUGAAGAAUGGAAUGUGCUAUGCGUUGAUGAUAAUGAAAACUUUUUGUUGGAACUGCCGAAGACAAAAGGUUAAGCGGCGAAAGACUUUAAUUUUCUCUAUGAAUGAGAUAAUGAAUUUAUUACUAAAAAUAUUAAUUAUGAUUAAUGGGUAGGUGAAACAAACAAUAAGUAUAUUGUUUUGGGAAAAGUUUUUUUUUUUUUUUUUUUUUUUUUUUUUUUUUGUUUUGACAAAUUGUUUUGGGAAAAGUUAUUAACAAUACAUUUGCAUUUGCUUCAAAAAAUAAAUGUGAUGAUUCUGAUAUUUUUUUUAAAUUUUAGUUACUACUUUGGAUGAAAUUUCUUAAGAUUUACUAAUAGCUUACACUAUAAUGUCGUCAAAGUUCGGUUGGCCACAUUGAGAGAUAGUGGUUGGGAUAAUUUAUUUGUUGUCGUACAAGAAUUUUGUGUUGCUAAAGGUAUUCUGGUGUCAAAUAUGGAUGAAGAAAUGCCGGUUCGGGGUCGUUCAAGACUAGCAGGGAGGAUUGUCAUUAAUCUUCACCUUUACCGGGUCGAGAUUUUUUAUGUUUCUAUUGACAAAAUAUGUGUGGAGAUGGAUCAUCGCUUUAGUGAAGGAAGUAACAUUGUGCUUGAUUGCUUCUCAUGUCUUGACCCCAAGAAUUCUUUCUACAAGUUUGAUGUUGAUAAGCUUCCUGGUCUUACUGAUAUUUAUCAUGCAGACUUAUCUGAUGAUGACCGUGGAACAGUAAGAGAACAACUUGACACUUAUGUCCUUCAAGUGAAAAAGGCUUGCUUCUUUUUCUUCUUGUGAAGAUGUUCAAAGUUUGGCUAUGAUAUUGCCGGUAUCGACAACAUCGGUUAUGAUAUUGCCGGUAUCGACAACAUCCGUUGAAAGAGCUUUUUCAGCAAUGAAAAUUAUCAAGACUAAAUUGUGCAACAAGAUCAACAAUGUGUAUAAAAUGACUUGAUGAUAUGUUACACCGAGCGGGAGAUAUUCAAGUCACUUGAUGAUGUUGAUAUUAUUCGAACAUUCACCGGAAAGAGGUCUCGGAAAGGACAUUUACCUCCUAAUUUUAUUUAGCACACUAUUGACAAAUUAUAUUUCAUCUCUCUUAUUUCAAACUGUACUUUUGUAGAAAAAAUGACGAUUCUCUUUUAUUUUGAUUUAUGACUAUUAUUAUAUAUUAUGUCACAUGUGAAUUUACGAUAAAUUUUUCGCCCAGGUUCUAUAAAAUUUCUGACUCCGCCACUGCUUGAGACGAGCAAACUCCAAGAUCACAAGUCAACCACUAGACCAACUCCAAAGAGGUUUGCCGAGUCUGAGUUUAUCUUUUACUUUAUAGUUUUUUCAAACAAAUGAAAUCUUUUACUUUAUAUUUCGCAAUAAUUCUUUUGUAACACCAUUUAAAUAUCUAUGAAAAGAUAGAUAUACACAAUAACUCACAUAAUAUAGUAUGGUGAAUCUUCAAAUUUUAACCCGUCCUGCUCCUAAGUGAAACUCAAUUCUAGUAUGUUAGUGUUAAUGAAAAUUGUUGAAGACACAUUUAGUUUGGCUGAGAAACACCAGUAAUUUACUCAAAUGCCCCUUCGGCAGUUAACUGCCGCGGAAAUUAACCGGCGGUAGUUAACUGGCGAAAUUCAAUCUAAUUCAUCGGCACUUAAGUGCCGUGGAAAUCAUUUACAGUUUCUUUGCGACAACUGAAGUAGAUAAAAUAGUCACAAGGAAGAGGGGUUUGAAUUGUGACCCUUUAAAAUUAUCAUGUAACUUAAAAAGUAAUUCUCAAGUUGAAACUUGGAAUAGUUAAGUUAAUGACAGACUUCAGAACGUUCUGAUGUCUGAGUGACAAAAACAGUUUAAAAAAGUAAAUGUGUUUGUGUCAUUGUGUUUGCAGUAAGUAAAGAGUAUAAGGAAGAGGGAAUCAAUACACAGAAGUUUAUAGUGGUUCCCCCAAUGUGGGUUAGUCCACUCCUCACAAUCUUGUGAGAGUUUCCACUAUGUUGCUUGAGAUAAUCUCUUAAUUCUUGCACCUUACAAUCUUUGUUCUCCUUAACAUUUACAAUUUUGUAUUCUCUAAGCCUCAGCAGGCUUGCACCUUGUUGCUAAGUUAACCACUUAGAAUUUUACAAUCUUUGCUCAAGCUAACACUUUAGUACCCCUAAAGCUAGAUGAGACUUGAUUACAAUUUGUGAGAAGUUUGAAUGUUUGUAAAACAAACAGAAGAGGAAAAAGAAGAAGUUAUCUUUAAGAAAGAUAACAGAGAGUAUUGAUGUGCACUUAUGUGAAGGUAACAAAAGCCUUCAGUGAUUGAUCAAUUUCAAUUGCAAGAGCUGAAAACAAUCUCAAGUUGUUUAUUUGUAUGCUUUGCAAUGGUGCAAGUUUUGCUAAGGCCUUGAUCUCUAUUUAUAGAGUUUUUGGGCUCAUAUAACCGUUGUAAGGUGCCCAAUGGUGUUAUGCCACGUGUCCUGGGCCCCACAAGCUUUUACUUGAAAAUCUAGGUGAACAUUCUGACCAUCAUAAUGUUGUUGUGUUUCCAAGAUGAACACCAGAAUGUUGUUGUGUUCUUCAUCAGAAUGUUGAUAUUCAUGAUGUUCUUCAUUUGGGUUCAUCAAUGAUGAAUGUCUUAUGAGUUUCUAGGUUUGUUCAAUUUGUGACAUGAUAUUUGUUGGGUUUUAUCCACCAAAAAGUAACUUCUCCAUAUGCAUCAAAAGUUGUUGGAUAAAGUAGGAUAAAGUUAUCAAAUCUGUCUUGGACUUGGUGCAGGAGAGAGAGAUAGUGGAUCUGCAAUCUUCAGGCCCAUGCUUCUAGGAGAUUUGCUUGAUUUUGUUCAGAGUACACGUUAUCUCUAAUGGAAGAUCUCCUUUUGCUUUGCUUGCUAACUUUUCACCAACUACACUGUUCAUAGUUAGAAGCAUGUGCAGAGAUGAACAUUCUGACCAUCAGAAUGUUUCAUUUGCUCUUACUUUAGGAUGAUUUGUAAGACUACUUUUUGAUGUAAUCAAUCCUAAUAGUAGAUACAUAACUGAAGUGCAGUAAAGUAACCUCUAGGAUAAUAUCCUCUUUAAAAUAUUCCUAAAACUUCAAGUGUUCAUAGUUUUGAAUGAACCUUGAAGACAUUUUUGACACUUUUGCUUGUCCAAGCCUUUAUUGCUGAUACAUCCAUGCAAUUGUACUUUCCUGGACAUAUUUUUAUGUCACGUUGUAGUUUGCAUGUUCUUCAUGUUCUUGAUGAUUCUGGGUUUGUUUAUGAACAACCUUCUGAAUUAUCAUCAGAACGUUCUGAUCAACUUCAUUGGUCAACUUUUUGAACUAACUUUUUGAACUUCAGAAUUAGUUCAUGGAUUCAAUGUCCUUUGAUUUCAUGUAUCUUGGUAUGAUUUAAACCUUAUUCCUGUCUUAGUAAAAACACUCAAGAGCACAAGUUAAAUACCAAGGAAUUAAUCAAAGUUUAUUAUAUUUUUUUUGAGAGAAUUGGUCGCUUUAGAUGUGUUUCCAUUUUAUGGCAUUUGUACCUAGAUUAACUUGCAUUAAAUUGUAAAAAUUGCAGCUGCAUUACAAUCUUUUGGCUACAUUAUUAAUUAAACAAAAAUGAUAUUUAGACACUUCAUAUCCUCUAAUACCUCUCAAGUCUCAAUCUAGUACAUACGAUCAAAUAUAUGUGUAGUGCAAUUAAUAAAUGACAAAGUGGUGAUCACGGAAAGAGAUGAUUUGUGCUUAUGACAUAAACAAUUAGUUAUCUUGUAUUUAUGUAUUCACUCAAAAUAAGGAUUAUAUAAGCAGAAAAAACAAAGCAAAAAGUUUGAUUCAAUAUAUUCAAAAUGGAAAAUGCUAUUUCAUUAACUGAAUCUACCAUUUUUUUAGUGAUAUAAUGUACAAAUGGAAACAAAUUAAUGUUUAUAAUGUAUUGAUUUCAAUUUACUACAAUAAUUCAACUAAAGCAAAACAAUUCUAACAUGUAAAACAGAGGGUCACAAUUUGAGUAUUCCCUUUCCAACUCCCUAAAAGUAAAUAAACUCCUACGUCUAUAGACAAGAAAGAACAUAUAAAAUUAGUUAAGUUUCUUUGGCGUACAUGCAGCAUCAGUUCAGUGACCACGUCCUUUGUGGCUUGGUCCAGAAUAAGCCUGGUUGAUUAUUAAACUUAUGACGGAAGGAGCAGAUUGAUCUUUGAGAGGUCUUGUCCCCUCAACUUGUAUGGAGUGCGAGAGCAAGAGAAAGGAAAAUAUCAUCAAAAAAAGGGCAUUGAUAAUAUUAAGAGUAAUACCCUGCAGCUUCAUUUUGUAUAUAUCUAACUUCCAAGAUGUACCAAACCGUACACAAUAUAUAUUAGUGGGUUAAUGGUGUCGUUUGGAGCAUGAAUGAUGAGGAAUGUUAUAUAUAUAUAUAUAUGUAUAUAUAGCAAUGUGUAUGGAGAAUGACUGAAUUGAAGAUUAAUUGGAAAAAGGCUUGUUUUGUUCUUUAUUGACUUAACUUGUAGCUGGUGGCGGGGUUGGAAGGUUAUUAUUAUUAUUAUUCUUUCACUACUUUGAAUUUUUAAGUCUGAACAACCCAAAAAGCAACUAAAUUUGAGUUUUG